UACAGAGGAUGCAAGCGUUAUCCGGAAUUAUUGGGCGUAAAGCGUCUGUAGGUGGCUUUUUAAGUCCGCCGUGAAAUCCCAGGGCUCAACUCUGGACAGGCGGUGGAAACUACCAAGCUGGAGUACGGUAGGGGCAGAGGGAAUUUCCGGUGGAGCGGUGAAAUGCGUAGAGAUCGGAAAGAACACCAGCGGCGAAGGCGCUCUGCUGGGCCGACACUGACGCUGAGAGACGAAAGCUAGGGGAGCGAAUGGG
RNAcentral lists this ribosomal RNA (253 nucleotides) under uncultured bacterium. Its description in RNAcentral is "partial 16S ribosomal RNA". It matches the Rfam family "Bacterial small subunit ribosomal RNA", at positions 524 to 776 of the family's 1533-position model. The record is from RNAcentral.